This 1474-nucleotide ribosomal RNA is filed under the name uncultured bacterium. RNAcentral describes it as "bacterial SSU rRNA". It matches the Rfam family "Bacterial small subunit ribosomal RNA". The record is from RNAcentral.
GUGCACUGGCGGGUGCUAUACAUGCAAGUCGAACGCUUCUUUUCCCACCGGAGCUUGCUCCACCGGGAAAAGAGGAGUGGCGAACGGGUGAGUAACACGUGGGUAACCUGCCCAUCAGAAGGGGAUAACACUUGGAAACAGGUGCUAAUACCGUAUAACAAUCGAAACCGCAUGGUUUCGUUUUGAAAGGCGCUUUACGGUGCCGCUGAUGGAUGGACCCGCGGUGCAUUAGCUAGUUGGUGAGGUAACGGCUCACCAAGGCCACGAUGCAUAGCCGACCUGAGAGGGUGAUCGGCCACAUUGGGACUGAGACACGGCCCAAACUCCUACGGGAGGCAGCAGUAGGGAAUCUUCGGCAAUGGACGAAAGUCUGACCGAGCAACGCCGCGUGAGUGAAGAAGGUUUUCGGAUCGUAAAACUCUGUUGUUAGAGAAGAACAAGGGUGAGAGUAACUGUUCACCCCUUGACGGUAUCUAACCAGAAAGCCACGGCUAACUACGUGCCAGCAGCCGCGGUAAUACGUAGGUGGCAAGCGUUGUCCGGAUUUAUUGGGCGUAAAGCGAGCGCAGGCGGUUUCUUAAGUCUGAUGUGAAAGCCCCCGGCUCAACCGGGGAGGGUCAUUGGAAACUGGGAGACUUGAGUGCAGAAGAGGAGAGUGGAAUUCCAUGUGUAGCGGUGAAAUGCGUAGAUAUAUGGAGGAACACCAGUGGCGAAGGCGGCUCUCUGGUCUGUAACUGACGCUGAGGCUCGAAAGCGUGGGGAGCAAACAGGAUUAGAUACCCUGGUAGUCCACGCCGUAAACGAUGAGUGCUAAGUGUUGGAGGGUUUCCGCCCUUCAGUGCUGCAGCUAACGCAUUAAGCACUCCGCCUGGGGAGUACGACCGCAAGGUUGAAACUCAAAGGAAUUGACGGGGGCCCGCACAAGCGGUGGAGCAUGUGGUUUAAUUCGAAGCAACGCGAAGAACCUUACCAGGUCUUGACAUCCUUUGACCACUCUAGAGAUAGAGCUUCCCCUUCGGGGGCAAAGUGACAGGUGGUGCAUGGUUGUCGUCAGCUCGUGUCGUGAGAUGUUGGGUUAAGUCCCGCAACGAGCGCAACCCUUAUUGUUAGUUGCCAUCAUUUAGUUGGGCACUCUAGCAAGACUGCCGGUGACAAACCGGAGGAAGGUGGGGAUGACGUCAAAUCAUCAUGCCCCUUAUGACCUGGGCUACACACGUGCUACAAUGGGAAGUACAACGAGUCGCGAAGUCGCGAGGCUAAGCUAAUCUCUUAAAGCUUCUCUCAGUUCGGAUUGUAGGCUGCAACUCGCCUACAUGAAGCCGGAAUCGCUAGUAAUCGCGGAUCAGCACGCCGCGGUGAAUACGUUCCCGGGCCUUGUACACACCGCCCGUCACACCACGAGAGUUUGUAACACCCGAAGUCGGUGAGGUAACCUUUUUGGAGCCAGCCGCCUAGAGGUGCCAUACGAUCUUCG